UCCCUAGGAGUGGUGCUUGAGUGUGGGU
This 28-nucleotide non-coding RNA is filed under the name Mus musculus (house mouse). Lineage: Eukaryota; Metazoa; Chordata; Mammalia; Rodentia; Muridae. The record is from RNAcentral.